UAACGCGNUGGGAAUCUACCCAGNUAGUGGGGGACAACUACCGGAAACGGUAGCUAAUACCGCAUACGCCCUAUGGGGGAAAGGCUUCGGCCGCUAUUGGAUGAGCCCGCGUCAGAUUAGCUAGUUGGUAGGGUAAAGGCCUACCAAGGCAACGAUCUGUAGCUGGUCUGAGAGGACGAACAGCCACGCUGGGACUGAGACACGGCCCAGACUCCUACGGGAGGCAGCAGUGGGGAAUAUUGGACAAUGGGCGAAAGCCUGAUCCAGCAAUGCCGCGUGUGUGAAGAAGGCCUGCGGGUUGUAAAGCACUUUCAGUUGGGAAGAUGAUGACGUUACCAACAGAAGAAGCACCGGCUAAAUCCGUGCCAGCGGCCGCGGUAAUACGGAUGGUGCGAGCGUUAAUCGGAAUUACUGGGCGUAAAGCGCGCGUAGGCGGCUAAGUCAGUCAGAAGUGAAAGCCCCGGGCUCAACCUGGGAAUUGCUUUUGAUACUGCUUAGCUAGAGUUUGGUAGAGGAUAGUGGAAUUCCAGGUGUAGCGGUGAAAUGCGUAGAUAUCUGGAGGAACAUCAGUGGCGAAGGCGACUGUCUGGACCAAAACUGCCGCUGAGGUGCGAAAGCGUGGGUAGCAAACAGGAUUAGAUACCCUGGUAG
Molecule: ribosomal RNA, 651 nt
Filed under: uncultured Gammaproteobacteria bacterium
Lineage: Bacteria; Pseudomonadati; Pseudomonadota; Gammaproteobacteria
Description: bacterial SSU rRNA
Rfam family: Bacterial small subunit ribosomal RNA
Source: RNAcentral